Molecule: non-coding RNA, 413 nt
Organism: Leptonychotes weddellii (Weddell seal)
Lineage: Eukaryota; Metazoa; Chordata; Mammalia; Carnivora; Phocidae
Source: RefSeq, a predicted model, not a curated record
CUGCGCUGUCCCUGCCAGAAUGGGGGCUCCUGCCACCACAUCACAGGAGAGUGUGCCUGCCCCCCAGGCUGGACGGGAGCAGUGUGUGCCCAGCCCUGCCCACCCGGGACGUUCGGCCAGAACUGCAGCCAGGACUGUCCUUGCCACCACGGAGGGCAGUGUGAUCAUGUGACCGGGCAGUGCCACUGCCCAGCUGGCUACAUGGGGGACAGGUGCCAAGAGGAAUGCCCCUUCGGGACCUUCGGCUUCCAGUGCUCACAGCGCUGUGACUGCCACAACGGGGGUCAGUGCUCGCCCACCACAGGAGCCUGCAAGUGUGAGCCUGGCUACAAGGGCCCGCGCUGCCAGGAGCGGCUGUGCCCCGAGGGACUGCACGGCCCCGGCUGCACCUUGCCUUGCCCCUGUCAGGCCGA